This 6679-nucleotide long non-coding RNA is filed under the name Brassica rapa (field mustard). RNAcentral describes it as "long non-coding RNA (BRAP_LNC008724)". Lineage: Eukaryota; Viridiplantae; Streptophyta; Magnoliopsida; Brassicales; Brassicaceae. The record is from RNAcentral.
CAUAUUUGAAUCAUGUAAUAACAUAUGAUGAAGUUCAAAGAGGUUUGGAACCUUUGUUGUCUCCGUUUCUCUAGGGAAUAGCAAUUUUAUAGUGGUUAGUCCAAUGAUUUACAGAGCAUUUGCAGUUUUCCUAAAUUAAUGGAUAAAAAAUUAGAACGAUGUCCAUGUACCAUGAAAAGAAGUUUAUCAUACAUUAAUACAAAGGUUUAAUGUGGUUUUAAAUUUUAAAACAAAUUUAAAGAUUAUAGGCUUCAUAUAUUGAGCAUUUACCGAAAACUCACUAUUUUCGUAGGGGGGUACACAUAGAUUUUGAGAAAAAUUCAAAAAAUUGAAAAUACUGUUUUAAUACAUAUUUGAAUCAUGUAAUAAUAUAUGAUGGAGUUCAAAGAGGUUUGGAACCUUUGUUGUCUCCGUUUCUCUAGGGAAUAGCAAUUUUAUAGUGGUUAGUCUAAUGAUUUAGGGAGUAUUUGCAGUUUUGCUAAAUUAAUGGAUAAAAAAUUAGAACGAUGUCCAUGUACCAUGAAAAGAAGUUUAUCAUACAUUAAUACAAAGUUAUAAUGUGGUUUUAAAUUUUAAAACAAAUUUAGAGAUUAUAGGCUUCAUAUAAAGAGCAUUUACCGAAAACUCACUAUUUUCGUAGGGGUUAACCCAUAGAUUUUGAAAAAAAUCAAAAAAAUUGAAAAUACUGUUUUAAUACAUAUUUGAAUCAAGUAAAAAAAUAUGAUGAAGUUCAAAGAGGUUUGGAACCUUUGUUGUCUCCGUUUCUCUAGGGAAUAGCAAUUUUAUAGUGGUUAGUCUAAUGAUUUAGGGAGUAUUUGCAGUUUUGCUAAAUUAAUGGAUAAAAAAUUAGAACGAUGUCCAUGUACCAUGAAAAGAAGUUUAUCAUACAUAAAUACAAAGUUAUAAUGUGGUUUUAAAUUUUAAAACAAAUUUAGAGAUUAUAGGCUUCAUAUAUAGAGCAUUUACCGAAAACUCACUAUUUUCGUAGGGGGGUACACAUAGAUUUUGAGAAAAAUUCAAAAAUUUUGAAAAUACUGUUUUAAUACAUAUUUGAAUCAUGUAAUAAUAUAUGAUGAAGUUCAAAGAGGUUUGGAACCUUUGUUGUCUCCGUUUCUCUAGGGAAUAGCAAUUUUAUAGUGGUUAGUCCAAUGAUUUAGGGAGUAUUUGCAGUAAAUUAAUGGAUAAAAAAUUAGAACGAUGUCCAUGUACCAUGAAAAGAAGUUUAUCAUACAUUAAUACAAAGGUAUAAUGUGGUUUUAAAUUUUAAAACAAAUUUAAAGAUUAUAGGCUUCAUAUAUAGAGCAUUUACCGAAAACUCACUAUUUUCGUAGGGGUUAACACAUAGAUUUUGAAAAAAAUUCAAAAAAUUGAAAAUACUGUUUUAAUACAUAUUUGAAUCAUGUAAUAAAAUAUGAUGAAGUUCAAAGAGGUUUGGAACCUUUGUUGUCUCCGUUUCUCUAGGAAUAACAAUUUUAUAGUGGUUAGUCUAAUGAUUUAGGGAGUAUUUACAGGUUUGCUAAAUUAAUGGAUAAAAAAUUAGAACGAUGUCCAUGUACCAUGAAACGAAGUUUAUCAUACAUUAAUACAAAGGUAUAAUGUGGUUUUAAAUUUUAAAACAAAUUUAAAGAUUAUAGGCUUCAUAUAUAGAGCAUUUACCGAAAACUCACUAUUUUCGUAGGGGGGUACACAUAGAUUUUGAGAAAAUUCAAAAAAUUUGACAAUACUGUUUUAAUACAUAUUUGAAUCAUGUAAUAAAAUAUGAUGAAGUUCAAAGAGGUUUGGAACCUUUGUUGUCUCCGUUUCUCUAGGGAAUAGCAAUUUUAUAGUGGUUAGUCUAAUGAUUUAGGGAGUAUUUGCAGUUUUGCUAAAUUAAUGGAUAAAAAAUUAGAACGAUGUCCAUGUACCAUGAAAAGAAGUUUAUCAUACAUUAAUACAAAGGUAUAAUGUGGUUUUAAAUUUUAAAACAAAUUUAAAGAUUAUAGGCUUCAUAUAUAGAGCAUUUACCGAAAACUCACUAUUUUCGUAGGGGGGUACACAUAGAUUUUGAGAAAAAUUCAAAAAAUUUGAAAAUACUGUUUUAAUACAUAUUUGAAUCAUGUAAUAAUAUAUGAUGAAGUUCAAAGAGGUUUGGAACCUUUGUUGUCUCCGUUUCUCUAAGGAAUAGCAAUUUUAUAGUGGUUAGUCUAAUGAUUUAGGGAGUAUUUGCAGUUUUGCUAAAUUAAUGGAUAAAAAAUUAGAACGAUGUCCAUGUACCAUGAAAAUAAGUUUAUCAUACAUUAAUACAAAGGUAUAAUGUGGUUUUAAAUUUUAAAACAAAUUUAAAGAUUAUAGGCUUCAUAUAUAGAACAUUUACCGAAAACUCACUAUUUUCGUAGGGGGGUACACAUAGAUUUUGAGGAAAAUUUGAAAAUACUGUUUUAAUACAUAUUUGAAUCAUGUAAUAAUAUAUGAUGAAGUUCAAAGAGGUUUGGAACCUUUGUUGUCUCCGUUUCUCUAGGGAAUAGCAAUUUUAUAGUGGUUAGUCCAAUGAUUUAGGGAGUAUUUGCAGUAAAUUAAUGGAUAAAAAAUUAGAACGAUGUCCAUGUACCAUGAAAAGAAGUUUAUCAUACAUUAAUACAAAGGUAUAAUGUGGUUUUAAAUUUUAAAACAAAUUUAAAGAUUAUAGGCUUCAUAUAUAGAGCAUUUACCGAAAACUCACUAUUUUCGUAGGGGUUAACCCAUAGAUUUUGAAAAAAAUCAAAAAAUUUGAAAAUACUGUUUUAAUACAUAUUUGAAUCAUGUAAAAAAAUAUGAUGAAGUUCAAAGAGGUUUGGAACCUUUGUUGUCUCCGUUUCUCUAGGGAAUAGCAAUUUUAUAGUGGUUAGUCUAAUGAUUUAGGGAGUAUUUGCAGUUUUGCUAAAUUAAUGGAUAAAAAAUUAGAACGAUGUCCAUGUACCAUGAAAAGAAGUUUAUCAUACAUUAAUACAAAGUUAUAAUGUGGUUUUAAAUUUUAAAACAAAUUUAAAGAUUAUAGGCUUCAUAUAUAGAGCAUUUACCGAAAACUCACUAUUUUCGUAGGGGGGUACACAUAGAUUUUGAGAAAAAUUCAAAAAAUUUGAAAAUACUGUUUUAAUACAUAUUUGAAUCAUGUAAUAAUAUAUGAUGAAGUUCAAAGAGGUUUGGAACCUUUGUUGUCUCCGUUUCUCUAGGGAAUAGCAAUUUUAUAGUGGUUAGUCCAAUGAUUUAGGGAGUAUUUGCAGUAAAUUAAUGGAUAAAAAUUAGAACGAUGUCCAUGUACCAUGAAAAGAAGUUUAUCAUACAUUAAUACAAAGGUAUAAUGUGGUUUUAAAUUUUAAAACAAAUUUAAAGAUUAUAGGCUUCAUAUAUAGAGCAUUUACCGAAAACUCACUAUUUUCGUAGGGGUUACACAUAGAUUUUGAAAAAAAUCAAAAAAUUGAAAAUACUGUUUUAAUACAUAUUUGAAUCAUGUAAUAAAAUAUGAUGAAGUUCAAAGAGGUUUGGAACCUUUGUUGUCUCCGUUUCUCUAGGGAAUAGCAAUUUUAUAGUGGUUAGUCUAAUGAUUUAGGGAGUAUUUGCAGUUUUGCUAAAUUAAUGGAUAAAAAAUUAGAACGAUGUCCAUGUACCAUGAAAAGAAGUUUAUCAUACAUUAAUACAAAGGUAUAAUGUGGUUUUAAAUUUUAAAACAAAUUUAAAGAUUAUAGGCUUCAUAUAUAGAGCAUUUACCGAAAACUCACUAUUUUCGUAGGGGGGUACACAUAGAUUUUGAGAAAAAUUCAAAAAAUUUGAAAAUACUGUUUUAAUACAUAUUUGAAUCAUGUAAUAAUAUAUGAUGAAGUUCAAAGAGGUUUGGAACCUUUGUUGUCUCCGUUUCUCUAGGGAAUAGCAAUUUUAUAGUGGUUAGUCUAAUGAUUUAGGGAGUAUUUGCAGUUUUGCUAAAUUAAUGGAUAAAAAAUUAGAACGAUGUCCAUGUACCAUGAAAAGAAGUUUAUCAUACAUUAAUACAAAGUUAUAAUGUGGUUUUAAAUUUUAAAACAAAUUUAAAGAUUAUAGGCUUCAUAUAUAGAGCAUUUACCGAAAACUCACUAUUUUCGUAGGGGGGUACACAUAGAUUUUGAGAAAAAUUCAAAAAAUUUGAAAAUACUGUUUUAAUACAUAUUUGAAUCAUGUAAUAAUAUAUGAUGGAGUUCAAAGAGGUUUGGAACCUUUGUUGUCUCCGUUUCUCUAGGGAAUAGCAAUUUUAUAGUGGUUAGUCUAAUGAUUUAGGGAGUAUUUGCAGUUUUGCUAAAUUAAUGGAUAAAAAAUUAGAACGAUGUCCAUGUACCAUGAAAAGAAGUUUAUCAUACAUUAAUACAAAGGUAUAAUGUGGUUUUAAAUUUUAAAACAAAUUUAAAGAUUAUAGGCUUCAUAUAUAGAGCAUUUACCGAAAACUCACUAUUUUCGUAGGGGGUACACAUAGAUUUUGAGAAAAAUUUGAAAAAUUUGAAAAUACUGUUUUAAUACAUAUUUGAAUCAUGUAAUAAUAUAUGAUGAAGUUCAAAGAGGUUUGGAACCUUUGUUGUCUCCGUUUCUCUAGGGAAUAGCAAUUUUAUAGUGGUUAGUCCAAUGAUUUAGGGAGUAUUUGCAGUAAAUUAAUGGAUAAAAAAUUAGAACGAUGUCCAUGUACCAUGAAAAGAAGUUUAUCAUACAUUAAUACAAAGUAUAAUGUGGUUUUAAAUUUUAAAACAAAUUUAAAGAUUAUAGGCUUCAUAUAUAGAGCAUUUACCUAAAACUCACUAUUUUCGUAGGGGUUAACACAUAGAUUUUGAGAAAAAUUGAAAAAAUUGAAAAUACUGUUUUAAUACAUAUUUGAAUCAAGUAAAAAAAUAUGAUGAAGUUCAAAGAGGUUUGGAACCUUUGUUGUCUCCGUUUCUCUAGGGAAUAGCAAUUUUAUAGUGGUUAGUCUAAUGAUUUAGGGAGUAUUUGCAGUUUUCCUAAAUUAAUGGAUAAAAAAUUAGAACGAUGUCCAUGUACCAUGAAAAGAAGUUUAUCAUACAUUAAUACAAAGUUAUAAUGUGGUUUUAAAUUUUAAAACAAAUUUAAAGAUUAUAGGCUUCAUAUAUAGAGCAUUUACCGAAAACUCACUAUUUUCGUAGGGGGGUGGGUACACAUAGAUUUUGAGAAAAAUUCAAAAAUUUUGAAAAUACUGUUUUAAUACAUAUUUGAAUCAUGUAAUAAUAUAUGAUGAAGUUCAAAUAGAUUUGGAACCUUUGUUGUCUCCGUUUCUCUAGGGAAUAGCAAUUUUAUAGUGGUUAGUCCAAUGAUUUAGGGAGUAUUUGCAGUAACUUAAUGGAUAAAAAAUUAGAACGACGUCCAUGUACCAUGAAAAGAAGUUUAUCAUACAUUAAUACAUAGGUAUAAUGUGGUUUUAAAGAGGUUCAAAAUUUGAAAAUUUUGAAAAAAACUGUUUAAUACUAUAUUUGAAUCAUGUAAUAAUAUAUGAUGAAGUUCAAAUAGAUUUGGAACCUUUGUUGUCUCCGUUUCUCUAGGGAAUAGCAAUUUUAUAGUGGUUAGUCCAAUGAUUUAGGGAGUAUUUGCAGUAACUUAAUGGAUAAAAAAUUAGAACGACGUCCAUGUACCAUGAAAAGAAGUUUAUCAUACAUUAAUACAUAGGUAUAAUGUGGUUUUAAAGAGGUUCAAAAUUUGAAAAUUUUGAAAAAACUGUUUUAAUAUAUAUUUGAAUCAUGUAAUAAUAUAUGAUGAAGUUCAAAGAGAUUUGGAACCUUUGUUGUCUCCGUUUCUCUAGGGAAUAGCAAUUUUAUAGUGGUUAGUCCAAUGAUAUAGGGAGUAUUUGCAGUAAAUUAAUGGAUAAAAAAUUAGAACGAUGUCCAUGUACCAUGAAAAGAAGUUUAUCAUACAUUAAUACAAAGGUAUAAUGUGGUUUUAAAUUUUAAAACAAAUUUAGAGAUUAUAGGCUUCAUAUAAAGAGCAUUUACCGAAAACUCACUAUUUUCGUAGGGGUUAACCCAUAGAUUUUGAAAAAAAUCAAAAAUUUUGAAAAUACUGUUUUAAUACAUAUUUGAAUCAUGUAAUAAUAUAUGAUGAAGUUCAAAGAGGUUUGGAACCUUUGUUGUCUCCGUUUCUCUAGGGAAUAGCAAUUUUAUAGUGGUUAGUCUAAUGAUUUAGGGAGUAUUUGCAGUUUUCCUAAAUUAAUGGAUAAAAAAUUAGAACGAUGUCCAUGUACCAUGAAAAGAAGUUUAUCAUACAUUAAUACAAAGUUAUAAUGUGGUUUUAAAUUUUAAAACAAAUUUAGAGAUUAUAGGCUUCAUAUAUAGAGCAUUUACCGAAAACUCACUAUUUUCGUAGGGGGGUACACAUAGAUUUUGAGAAAAGUUUGAAAAUUUGAAAAUACUGUUUUAAUACAUAUUUGAAUCAUGUAAUAAUAUAUGAUGGAGUUCAAAGAGGUUUGGAACCUUUGUUGUCUCCGUGUCUCUAGGGAAUAGCAAUUUUAUAGUGGUUAGUCUAAUGAUUUAGGGAGUAUUUGCAGUAAAUUAAUGGAUAAAAAAUUAGAACGAUGUCCAUGUACCAUGAAAAGAAGUUUAUCAUACAUUAAUACAAAGUUAUAAUGUGGUUUUAAAUUUUAAAACAAAUUUAGAGAUUAUAGGCUUCAAAUAUAGAGCAUUUACCGAAAACUCACUAUUUU